This 551-nucleotide ribosomal RNA is filed under the name uncultured Lachnospiraceae bacterium. Its description in RNAcentral is "bacterial SSU rRNA". It matches the Rfam family "Bacterial small subunit ribosomal RNA", at positions 157 to 727 of the family's 1533-position model. The record is from RNAcentral. Lineage: Bacteria; Bacillati; Bacillota; Clostridia; Lachnospirales; Lachnospiraceae.
UGACUGCUAAUACCGCAUAAGCACACGUGAUCGCAUGAUCGAGUGUGAAAACUCCGGUGGUAUGAGAUGGACCCGCGUCUGAUUAGCUAGUUGGUGGGGUAAUGGCCCACCAAGGCGACGAUCAGUAGCCGGCCUGAGAGGGUGAACGGCCACAUUGGGACUGAGACACGGCCCAAACUCCUACGGGAGGCAGCAGUGGGGAAUAUUGCACAAUGGGGGGAACCCUGAUGCAGCGACGCCGCGUGAAGGAUGAAGUAUUUCGGUAUGUAAACUUCUAUCAGCAGGGAAGAAAAUGACGGUACCUGACUAAGAAGCCCCGGCUAACUACGUGCCAGCAGCCGCGGUAAUACGUAGGGGGCAAGCGUUAUCCGGAUUUACUGGGUGUAAAGGGAGCGUAGACGGCAGUGCAAGUCUGAAGUGAAAGCCCGGGGCUCAACCCCGGGACUGCUUUGGAAACUGUGCAGCUAGAGUGUCGGAGAGGCAAGCGGAAUUCCUAGUGUAGCGGUGAAAUGCGUAGAUAUUAGGAGGAACACCAGUGGCGAAGGCGGCUU